This 767-nucleotide non-coding RNA is filed under the name Hestiasula sp. JZ-2017. The record is from RNAcentral. Lineage: Eukaryota; Metazoa; Arthropoda; Insecta; Mantodea; Hymenopodidae.
UUGCUUAUGUAUUUAUUGUAACAUUAAUUUAUAUGUGAAUUUUUGUAUCAAAAAUCUUCUAAAAGAAAUUGAUUUGUAAUUGCAGUAGGUAAUUUUAUUAAUAUUAAGGUGAUUUAGAUUUAGUAAAUGUUAAAAGGUUUGGUAAAAGCUGUGCCAGCAUCCGCGGUUAUUCAGCAAAAUCAAAUAAAUAUUAUUGGUUUUUGAGUAAUUAAUAUUAAUUAGAUAUAAAAAUUUAAGUAUUUUAAGGUGAAAUAUUUAUAAUAUUUAAAGGUUAUAUUAUUUGGUAUGAUUGUUGUGAAACUAAAAAUAUAAACUAGGAUUAGAUACCCUAUUAUUUUUAUUGUAAAUUAGUAAACUAGAGUAUUAGUAGUUAAGAUCUUUAAACUUAAAGAAUUUGGCGGUAUUAUAGUCUAUUUAGAGGAAUCUGUUAUGUAAUUGAUAAUCCGCAUUGAACCUUACUUAUAUUAUUUCUUGUAUAUCGCUGUUUAUGAAUAUACUUUUAGGUUAUUUUCUUAAUAUAAAAUUAAUUAGUAUUUCAAGUCAAGGUGCAGUUAUAUAUAAGUUGAAUAAUGGAUUACAAUAAAGUUUAUUUAUUACGGAUUUUUAUUGUAAUAUAAUUUAAAGGUGGAUUUAAUUGUAAUUAUAUAAAGAUUAUUAUAAUGAUUAAUAGCUCUAUAAUAUGUACACAUCGCCCGUCACUCUCAUUAUAAGGUGAGAUAAGUCGUAACAAAGUAGGUGUAUUGGAAAAUGUACCUAGAAAGAUUAAA